This is a long non-coding RNA of Bufo bufo (common toad), 186 nucleotides long. RefSeq lists it as uncharacterized. NCBI's taxonomy places the organism in Eukaryota, Metazoa, Chordata, Amphibia, Anura, Bufonidae. The record is from RefSeq and is a predicted model, not a curated record. The transcript is spliced from 3 exons.
UCCCUCCUGCUGGGGAAUCAUCCCUCAGAGAGCCAUGGCUGUUUGUAAAGAUUUCAAUUUUGAGGAUUCAAACCUCAAUUUCUCGAGAUUAGAUGUAUCCAUGUCUUUUCUCAAGAUUUCCGAGACAGAAGAAACUAUGGAUGAAUCUGAUACAAGUUCUAUGGAUCAGGAGCAAGAAGAUGAUGA